Molecule: ribosomal RNA, 1241 nt
Filed under: metagenome
Description: bacterial SSU rRNA
Rfam family: Bacterial small subunit ribosomal RNA
Source: RNAcentral
AUGGCCCACCAAGGCAUUGAUGGGUAGUUGGUCUGAGAGGACGACCAGCCACAUUGGGACUGAGAUACGGCCCAGACUCCUACGGGAGGCAGCAGUGGGGAAUCUUGGACAAUGGGGGAAACCCUGAUCCAGCGACACCGCGUGGGGGAUGAAGGCUUUCGGGUUGUAAACCCCUUUUCUGGGGGAAGAAUAAGGUUGGGAGGAAAUGCCCAUCCGAUGACGGUACUCCAGGAAUAAGCAUCGGCAAACUUCGUGCCAGCAGCCGCGGUAAGACGGAGGAUGCGAGCGUUAUCCGGAAUUACUGGGCGUAAAGGGCGUCUAGGCGGUUGGGUAAGUCACUUGUGAAAGCCCUCGGCUUAACCGAGGAAAGUCUCGUGAUACUGCCCAGCUUGGGUGUAGGAGAGGGGAGUGGAACUCACAGAGUAGCGGUGGAAUGCGUAGAUACUGUGAGGUACCCCGAUGGCGAAGGCAACUCCCUGGCCUACUACCGACGCUGAAGCGCGAAAGCGUGGGGAGCAAAGGGGAUUAGAUACCCCCGUAGUCCACGCCCCAAACGAUGUUCACUUGGUGUCGGCCGCAAAUAUAGGUCGGUGCCGGAGCUAACGCGUUAAGUGAACCGCCUGAGGAGUACGGCCGCAAGGCUAAAACUCAAGAGGAUUGACGGGUCCCCGCACAAGCGGUGGAGCACGUGUUUAAUUCGAUUUAAGCGAAGAACCUCACCCAGGCUUGACAUACUAGUGGUAGGAACCUGAAAGGGGGACGACCCUGCCUUCGGGUAGGGAGCUAGUACAGGUGAUGCAUGGCUGUCGUCAGCUCGUGUCGUGGGAUGUAGGGUUAAGUCCCGAAACGAGCGCAACCCUUGUCGUUAGUUGCCAGCGGGUAAUGCCGGGGACUCUAGCGAGACUGCUGGUGAAUAGCCGGAGGAAGGCGGGGAUGACGUCAAGUCAUCAUGUCCCUUAUGCCUGGGGCGACACACAUGCUACAAUGGGGGGUACAGAGGGUCGCAAUACCGUAAGGUGGAGCCAAUCUCAAAAAACCCUCCUCAGUUCGGAUUGAGGUCUGCAACUCGACCUCAUGAAGCCGGAAUCGCUAGUAAUCGUAGGUCAGCCAUACUACGGUGAAUAUGUACUCGGGGAUUGUACACACCGCCCGUCACACCAACCGAGUGGGGGGUACCUGAAGUCGUCUCCAUGAGGCGCCGAGGGUAACCUUCGCAAGAGGGGUGAAGUCGUAACAAGGUA